Molecule: long non-coding RNA, 565 nt
Filed under: Pongo abelii (Sumatran orangutan)
Lineage: Eukaryota; Metazoa; Chordata; Mammalia; Primates; Hominidae
Description: lincRNA
Source: RNAcentral
AUAUGCUUUCUGGUGGACAUUAAUAUAUAACACAGAGAUCUUCUCACAUUGCAGCUGCUCCCAUACAUCCAUUGAUAUAUGCCUCUAACUCCAGACCUUUUUGUCCUUAAUCUUCUAAUCCGGUUAUCUCUUUUCCUUUAGUGCAAUUUUUUCUUCUUAUUUGUUUGUUGUUUGUUUGUUUUAAGUAAAUAGCUAGGCUUUUAAGCCCUACCACAGAGAGUCAACAGACAAACUGCCCAGGGAAAAGUUAUGACCUCAGGCAAAGUGAAUUUCUACAGCUAAGGCAGAUCCUGAAGAAGCUCACAAAUAAAGGUUGCAUACUCACACAUUCCCUGAAGCUUGACAGUGCCAGCCACCAUGCUGUGAGGGAGCUGAAGUAAGCCCACAUGAGGAAGAAUUGAGGCCUCAAGCCAACAGCUGCAGCUAAGAUCCAAGCUCUCAACCAGCACUAGUUCAUCUGGUAUAGAGAAAAUAUCAUGCCUGUGGGAUCUAGAAGACAUACUCCUUUCUUUUUAGUUCUGCUAGUACCCUAUGUGCCUUUACCAAAACCUUAUUGAAUGGAUUU